RNAcentral lists this transfer RNA (70 nucleotides) under Camelus bactrianus (Bactrian camel). It matches the Rfam family "tRNA". Rfam says of the family: Transfer RNA (tRNA) molecules are approximately 80 nucleotides in length. Their secondary structure includes four short double-helical elements and three loops (D, anti-codon, and T loops). RNAcentral also lists the same sequence under 3 other names. Lineage: Eukaryota; Metazoa; Chordata; Mammalia; Artiodactyla; Camelidae. The record is from Rfam by way of RNAcentral.
GGAUGUAGCUCAGUGAUAGAGUGUGUGCUUAGCAUGCAUGAGGUCCUGGGUUCAAUCCCCAGUACUUCCA